This 391-nucleotide unclassified non-coding RNA is filed under the name uncultured fungus. RNAcentral's name for it is "partial contains small subunit ribosomal RNA, internal transcribed spacer 1, and 5.8S ribosomal RNA". The stretch from base 1 to 73 matches the Rfam family "Eukaryotic small subunit ribosomal RNA", at positions 1759 to 1831 of the family's 1831-position model. The record is from RNAcentral. Lineage: Eukaryota; Fungi.
ACAAACUUGGUCAUUUAGAGGAAGUAAAAGUCGUAACAAGGUUUCCGUAGGUGAACCUGCGGAAGGAUCAUUACUGAAGGAAUGAUAGGGUUGAGCUGACUCCUUUGAGAGUAUGUGCUUACUCUAUCGCUUUUUCUAUUCUCCCUUGUGAACCUUUUGUAGACUCUAUAUUGAUAUAAACUUGCUGAUGCUUGCAUCUCAAGUUUUGUUGAGACUUUGCGUUUUGUUACAAGGCGCUUGACUCUGCUUUUAUCAGUAUCGGUCUAUGAUCUUAUCAUAUCUACUCUGUUAAGUUUAUGAAUGUCUCAUUGUUGGUUCUUAAUACCAAUAAAUUGUUUAUACAACUUUCAGCAACGGAUCUCUUGGCUCUCGCAUCGAUGAAGAACGCAGC